CCGCUAGUUGGUGAGGUAACGGCUCACCAAGGGUACGAUCGGUAGCUGGUCUGAGAGGACGACCAGCCACACUGGGACUGAGACACGGCCCAGACUCCUACGGGAGGCAGCAGUGGGGAAUCUUGGACAAUGGGGGAAACCCUGAUCCAGCCAUGCCGCGUGAGUGAUGAAGGCCCUAGGGUUGUAAAACUCUUUCGGCGGGGACGAUAAUGACGGUACCCGCAGAAGAAGCUCCGGCUAACUUCGUGCCAGCAGCCGCGGUAAUACGAAGGGGGCUAGCGUUGUUCGGAAUUACUGGGCGUAAAGCGCGCGCAGGCGGUCCUUCAAGCGAGAGGUGAAAGCCCAGAGCUCAACUCUGGAACGGCCUUUGAGACUAGAGGACUUGGGUACGGGAGAGGUGAGUGGAAUUCCGAGUGUAGAGGUGAAAUUCGUAGAUAUUCGGAAGAACACCAGUGGCGAAGGCGGCUCACUGGCCCGUUACCGACGCUCAGGCGCGACAGCGUGG
Molecule: ribosomal RNA, 505 nt
Filed under: uncultured Alphaproteobacteria bacterium
Lineage: Bacteria; Pseudomonadati; Pseudomonadota; Alphaproteobacteria
Description: SSU rRNA
Rfam family: Bacterial small subunit ribosomal RNA
Source: RNAcentral